Molecule: long non-coding RNA, 388 nt
Filed under: Homo sapiens (human)
Lineage: Eukaryota; Metazoa; Chordata; Mammalia; Primates; Hominidae
Description: non-protein coding SNHG5:27
Rfam family: Small nucleolar RNA SNORD50 (bases 349-388)
Source: RNAcentral
AUUUCCCGCAGGAACAAUGGCGCUGUCUUCAGUGGCACAGUGGAGCAGCUCUGAAGAUGCAAAGAUACACGAAAAAACUUCCAGAACAUCUGGGAGAAUAUUUAAUGGAAAAUCGCUUGGUUAAAACCUGACACUUUUAACAGUGAACAGCGUUCUGAGUGUGGACGAGUAGCCAGUGAAGAUAAUGAAUGUCGAAUGUGACUGACUAGCAGCUUCAUUUUGAAUGAGGGUCGCUGUCUGCCCAUUGAUAGAGGCCAGAUUGUCUUGGAAGUUCCAAAGUUGCAACGAUUUCUGUAAGUGGAGUUUUUCUGUUUGCUUAGAGAUCAGUGAAUAUUGUGUCCUUGGUCUUAUCUGUGAUGAUCUUAUCCCGAACCUGAACUUCUGUUGA